ACUGCCCACUGGCCAGGAUUCCUGGCCUCUGAUUGGGCCCCGUCCCCUGCCAGUCCCCUCGGAAACAGAACCGCUCCUCACAGAGUCCGUGGGGCAAGGCCUUCUUCAUUCAUUUAACUGAGGCCUGUGCGUUCACCCCCCGGGAGAAUCUCUCACUCUGGCCCACACCGCAUCCGGCCUCCUGAGCCCCCUUGCAAAUCCUUCCGGUCCACGUUCUGUUCCCGAGUCCCUCUCCAGACUGGUUGUUCUUGUUUUUGUAUGGCCAAGGCUUAGGACAGCCCACAGAGGGCCAAAGCCGUGUUCAGGCUUUACCACUUCUUCCCCGGAUCAUUCCAACAGCCUUUUCCUGAGCCUGGCCACCCCCAGACUUAGCCCCUCGAGUCUAUCCUCCACAGGAAAAGAUCUCUGGGGGUCUUUCAUCAUUGGAAUCUGAAAAAGAAAAACGUGAGAGAUCAAUCACUGGAAACGUCCCGGAAAGGGGCACUGGGACCGAUGGCACAGCCUCGUGAAUGCACGAAAACCCAGUGGCCCGUACGCUUCAACGGGGCGAAUUUUACGCUAUGUAUUUCUAUCUCAGGAGAAAGCAGCAGUGGUGAGGACGUGAAACACUUCUGGGAAUCCAGCUACUGGCCCCAUUUCAGCUCCUGUGGAAUAUUACAGCAUGCCUCUAAAGAACCAUGCAACUUGGAUACAGAUGCUCUGGACCAUCCAACUCAAAUUCCUCCUGGAGCACGAGCACGCGCUGGGCACAAUGGCUCCACUCACUCCAGAUUCACGAGGCCGGCCUGGAAGGCCAAGAGCAGCUGAAAUCCACAAUGCUUGCAUUUGAUCCCGAUUAAAGACCAAGUUUCACAUCGAAUACCAAAUACGUUCUACUGCCAGGGGAACUCUGAACCCUCCAAGGGCCUGGUUUGAUUUCAGAGAUUAAACGUAAGCACAAGAACAAAAAAUGGCGAACUCGUGUCUUUCCAACCAGUAAUUUCUCUCAAAAUUAAGAAGAACAUGAAUAAUCUCCUCCCCCCUUCCCCCAACUGUUUGUCUGCUGCUUUCCAAAAUUCUAACGCAGAAUUGGAAGUCCAGCCUUCGGAGCCCGUGCGCCACACGGGGACCAGUCACGGCGGACCCCAGACACGAACUUGGGUUUGAACCUCCGUUCUCCCACUAGAGCUGUGUGGCCUUCGACGCAGAAUUCCAGCCUCAGUAGCCUCAUCUGUGAAGAGAGGGAAACGCUGAAACGGUUUCCUCAGAGGCGACGUAAGAAUGGCGAGAUAAUAUGCCGUAUAAAACAAGAACGCACCACACGCGUAUCAGCUGCUGCUCGUGGGUGAUGACCCUACAGUUGACUCAUUGUCAGGAAUAGAUGAGCGUCUUCCCAACAGCUGGGUUGUUCUUCCCUUAUUUAUACUCUGAGCCGUAUAAUUGCUCGGGUCCUUCUGUAGGUAAGAGUUGCAGAUUCACGUUUCUGUUUCACCCCUGCUGAGUAGGACCCCGUGAAAUGCACGGUGGCACUCGCCUCAUUCGUGGCUCUGUUUUCCAUCUCUACAUGGUUUUUUUUUUUUCCUUUCAGUCCUCAUUUAAUUUAUAUGUAGGCAAUUGCCAUGGACCGAAUGGGUGUGUCCACGCCAAAUUCAGAUGUUGAUGCCCUAACCCCCUGUUCUAUGGUAUUGGGGUUGGGGCCAUUGGAGGCUGUUAAGGUCAUUAGGGUAGAGACCUCAUGAAGGGCGUAAGUGCCUUGUAAGGAGAGAUAGGAGAGAGAUGUCUCCCUGCCGUGCGAGGACACAUCAGGAGGGUGGUUUUCUACAAGCCAAGAAGGGGUCUCCCAACAAAACCCCACCAUGAUGGCACCCAGAUCUCGGACAUCCAGCCUCCAGAGCUAUGAGAAAUGUGUAUCGUUUAAGCUCCCCAGUCUAUGGUGUUUUUGUUAGAGCAGCCUGAGCUGGCUGACGGAGAUCCUGUUAUGUUUCCAACCAUCUUCUGUCCAUGGUCAUACACAGUGAAGGAUACAGACAUGAUGGACAGAUAAAUGGGUAGGCCAAUGGAUACAGAAAAAUGGGAGACAUGCUUGGGGAACGAACCCAGUCAAUGUGCACAGAUGAACAGACAGAAGAUAGCCAGACCCUUCCCUUCUGUCUUUUCAUUUUCUGCUGUGUUUUGCCUGCUCACCUGACCACACUGAUCGGUACGGGCUAAGGACUGGUGCAGGUUGAAAUAGAAUCACAAAGACUGGUCCUAGCCUGGCCAGGGCCUCUGCCAGUUAGAAGUGGAGUCAUAUGGGGGGCGCCUGGGUGGCUCAGUCGGUGAAGCGUCUGACUUCGGCUCGGGUCGCAAUCUCAUGGUUUGUGGGUUCGAGCCCCGCGUCGGGCUCUGUGCUGACAGCUC
Long non-coding RNA from Felis catus (domestic cat), 2379 nucleotides. RefSeq lists it as uncharacterized. The record is from RefSeq and is a predicted model, not a curated record. NCBI's taxonomy places the organism in Eukaryota, Metazoa, Chordata, Mammalia, Carnivora, Felidae. The transcript has 3 exons.